CCUCUAUGUUCAAUAGUAUUGUAGUAGUUCGCUAGUGCAUUUCUUUAUUUUGCCACUAGGGGUCAGUAUCUCUUUUAGUGUUUUUGGGGGUUCUUCUUCGGUUAUAUUUUGCACUCACUAUGAUUAUGCUCUGUUGGUGAUGUGUUGAGGCAGCAGGAAAAACGUUUGUUACACGAAGUGUGAGAAAAUGCCUAGAGGUGUUUACAUGCUACACUCCUCUCAGACCCCUUACAUCUUUGGGAAGCUUUGACAUGCCAUAAUCUGUAAGUAAUAAAUGGCCUAUUUUGUUUUUUUUUAAAGUACUGUUACUUCAGAGGUUAUUUUGACUCUUGCAAGCAAAAAGAUGUUUGUGAUUUAAGUCAAGCUAAUGUUGCUAGCUUCUGUUUGGUAUGUGGUUGCACAGUUUCCUAUAAGUCAAUGUCAGCUCUGUUUUUUUUACACAUCUCAGGUUCGUCAAGUUGUACAUAUAGGUUGUCAAAGUAAAACAAGUAGCUUUUGUUUUUUUUGUUUUUUCUGUGUAGCUUUGAUCAAGGCUUGCUGAAUUCAUGUUCUCCUAAAUUUAACUAAAGAGGAAAGACCUGUUAUACUUUUGCAGAACAGUGAAAAAAGGAAACAAAUGUAUAACUUUCUUCUACAGUAGCAGUAAAUAAAUUUUGGCAUUUAUAAAUAUGUUGAACAGUAUUUUGAACUGCUUUUCAAUCUGUUUAACUGCAAUUGACUGCUGUAUAUUCUGCAACCUCAUUGUGGCAAAUUGACACAAACUGAAGAAUUUAAAAAUGUAAUCUUGUGAUUCUUAUAUCUUGAGUUCUGAUCACUUCCAGCAUUUGAAUCCACAGCAAUGUGUCUUGGUUUGUUAAAUAAUUUAUUUUUUAUAAAAUUUGCUUGUAUGUUUACAGUUUUACAAAUCAGAAAAGAGAGGUCUUCAGUAAAGGCACUAAGAAGAAAACUGUGUCCUGUCAUUCCUGGAGCCACACCUUCUCUUACUGAAUGUUUAGCUCACUGCAUAGGCUGAGUAGCCACACACUCAACCGAGGGCAGAAGAGUAAAAAGAUUGCCUACCUAUCAAGCACCCAAGAUGUCUCAGUCUGAAGCUACACCGCCAGUGUCCCAGAUGUUGGCCCGGUCGGAGUGCUACUCACGUUCUUCGCGCCGUUCGUCCACCAGCCAAGCUGCAGCACGAGCCCGAGCAGACGCAGAAGCUGCCCGUACCAGAGCACAGUACGCCAAACGCCAGAUCGACGUGGAGGUUGAGAAGGCGCGCAUCGAGGCAACGCUAAACGCUCUGAUGAAGGAGGGUGAGGCUGAAGCAGCGCUUGCUGCAGCUUAUGUCCUGGAAGCGGCAGCUGAUGAGGAGCAUGACGCCAUCGACCUCAGUGAGCAAGGCAUCUCCCCUAAGACACCUCCUUCCAUUAGACGUGCUCGAGACUAUGUGAAUGCUCACUUCACCAACUUCAGUUUGCAAGUGAAAGAAGAAAAGCCUGACACAAGACAACUGGUCAGUCAUAACGACUCUCACCAUCUACAACAGAGCCAAACACCAGUCGCUUCCUCUCCAGGUGAACAUCUCACUGAUUUUGUAGAUAGGGAGCAGUUGAAGCACCCUCCUACACACAUAAAAAUGGACUUUUCACCCCAGCCUAGACCUUCAGUGACUCCACAAACUGAACUGUCGGAUCUAGCAGCCUAUCUAGCACGCCGUGAUCUGCUGACAGCGGGAUUCAAGGUUUUCGACAACCAUCCUGAGUCAUAUUUGUCCUGGAAGUCCAUCUUCUGCAACGCCAUAGAAGGCCUUCACCUUAAGCCCAGCGAAGAGCUUGACCUUCUAACCAAGUGGCUCAGCGGGGAGUCACUUCAACACGCUCUGAGGAUCAGGGCAGUCCAUGUGAACAACCCACAAGCAGGCCUGCAACGUUUGUGGCAGCGUCUAGACAAGAGUUAUGGCUCUCCAGAGGUAGUCGAAGCGUCACUCUUCCAACGCUUACAGACUUUUCCAAAGAUAUCCAAUAAAGACACUCACCUGCUGCAGGAGCUUGCAGAUCUUCUGCUAGAGUUAGAGUAUGCACAAAGUGAAAGUUAUCUGCCAGGCCUUAGCUUUCUUGACACCCCAAGGGGGAUAAACCCGAUAGUUGAAAAGCUCCCUUACGGACUCCAGGAGUCAUGGUUGAAACGAGGGACAAAAUACAAAAGAGACAAUGGUGCAGUUUACCCACCUUUCUCAUAUUUUGUUCAGUUUGUAAAUGACUACGCUGAAAUGAAAACAGACCCUAGCUUUAUGUUACAAAGUUCAAACAUAGUAGCUCCAAAGGUUGACAAGACACCGGUAAAACCAACCAGAUACAGAGUCCCUGUUACGGUGAACAAAACAGAUAUCAGUCAAACAAACGCCACAGCUCAAACAUCCGUUCUCAAUCCAGCCAAGCAAUGUCCUAUUCACCACAAACCCCAUUCAAUUGCUAAAUGCAGGGGAUUUAGGUCAAAAACACUGGAUGAAAGAAAAGGUAUUCUCAAAGAACACGCUAUUUGUUAUAGGUGUUGUUCCUCCACAAGUCACAGAGCUAAAGACUGUAAAGCCAUUAUCCAAUGCUCGGAAUGUAAUAGUAAUGUGCACGUGUCCGCCAUGCAUGCUGGUCCACCUCCGUGGAUACCUAAAGACUCUAACCCUCUGCCUCAGAACCACGGCGGGGAGUCGGAUUCCCCAAGCCCUGUAACUACGACCAGCUGCACAGAAGUGUGUGGCCAAGGUCUCAAAGGUAAAUCCUGCUCUAAGAUUUGCUUAGUCAACGUGUAUCCCCGCACAUCCCCUGAAGAGAAAAGGAGGAUGUAUGCCAUGUUAGAUGAUCAAAGCAAUUCAUCCUUAGCCAGGUCUGCCUUCUUUGACAUGUUUAAUGUAAAAGGUACCAUACUCCCAUACACCAUGAAAACAUGCGCUGGUUUAUCAGAGACUGGAGGGCGCAGAGCUAGUGACUUUGUUAUUGAGGAUGUGAAUGGAAAAGUGUCCAUGCUGCUGCCUAUACUAACAGAAUGUGAUCAGAUUCCAGAUAACAGGGACGAGAUUCCCACCUCUGAGGCUGUGUUGGCUCACCCUCAUCUACAGGCGAUCGCUUCGCAGAUUCCUCCUCUGGACCCAUCAGCAGAAAUCCUUCUCCUCUUGGGCAGGGACAUCAUCCAAGCUCACAAGGUCCGCAGUCAGGUGAAUGGUCCAAACAGUGCACCUUAUGCUCAACGCCUUGAUCUGGGAUGGGUAGUUAUAGGUGAUGUCUGCCUCUCAGGUGCCCACAAACCCACAGUGAGCUCUUUUAAGACAAACGUUCUUAACAAUGGCCGCCCUACCUUCCUCAGCCCCUGUGAAAACAAAAUCUAUAUCAAAGACAAAUACACAGAAAGCUGUCAUACACUUGAUAAGACACAAGUUGAAUUGGGCAGACACAUUUUCCAGCAAACAGCAGAUGAUGACAAAGUGGCACUUUCGGCAGAAGAUGCUUUGUUCUUGGACAUUAUGCACAAAGACUUUGCAAAAGAUGAUGCGAAUAAUUGGGUAGCUCCACUCCCAUUCCGCACCCCCAGACAGCGUUUGCCCAACAACAGGGACCAGGCCCUCAGUCGUUUAAUGUCACUUCGCAAAAUGCUAAAAAGGAAACCUGAAAUGAGGGAGCACUAUGUUGAGUUUUUGGACAAAAUCUUCAGUAAGGGCCAUGCAGAACCAGCUCCUGCUCUAACUCCAGACCAGGAAUGCUGGUAUCUCCCUAGUUUUGGAGUUUACCACCAUCAAAAGCCAGGGAAAAUUAGAGUAGUUUUCGAUUCAAGUGCUCAAUGCAGCAAUGUUUCACUCAAUGACGUGCUACUAAAAGGGCCAGAUCUCAAUAACACUCUUGUGGGAGUUCUGAUGCGUUUCAGGUCUGACCCAUACGCAGUCAUGGCAGACGUGGAGCAAAUGUUUCACAACUUUCUAGUUAGAGAGGACCACCGCGACUACCUUCGUUUCUUGUGGUUCAAAAACCAUGAUCUGGACGGAGAAGUGCAGGAAUUCAGGAUGAGAGUACACGUUUUUGGGAACUGCCCCUCCCCAUCCGUGGCUAUUUAUGGACUGAAACGGUCAGCCAUGGAGGGAGAAAGGGAAUACGGCAGUGAUGCAAGAGAGUUCAUUGAACGUCACUUUUAUGUAGAUGAUGGACUGAAAUCAUUCUCUUCUGCAGAUGAGGCCAUUGACAUUCUCUGUAGAGCUCAGAAGAUGCUGGCUCAGUGUAACAUACGCCUGCACAAAAUCUCAUCCAACUGUCCUAUCAUCACAAGUGCUUUUCCAAGUGAGGACCUUGCAACGGACAUGCAGGGCAUUGACCUCGGGCAGACUACCCCACCUAUGCAACGCAGCUUAGGCUUAGGCUGGGACCUGUCCACAGACCUGUUCAAGUUUCAGGUAACAGUCAAUCAAAAGCCCUUCACUAAACGGGGAGUGCUGUCAGUCAUUAAUAGUGUGUUCGACCCGCUUGGCUUUGCUGUCCCAGUCAUUGUAGAAGGCAGGGCCAUACUGAGAGAGAUUUCCACUGACAUUUGUGAAUGGGACACCGAAUUGCCCAAAGACAAAUUACAACAGUGGCAACAAUGGAAAGACUCCCUCAAAUAUCUACAACAACUUGAAAUUCCCAGAAUGUACACCUCAAUACCACUAUCUGCAGCUCUAACUAAGGAGAUCCAUGUUUUUUGUGAUGCCUCCACUAAGGCAGUGGGCGCUGUCGCUUACCUCAAACUCACAGAUAGAGAUGGGCACAGUGAAGUGGGUUUCCUUCUCGGCAAAGCACGACUUUCCCCAAAACCAGACAUCACUAUACCCAGACUUGAACUUUGUGCAGCAGUCCUGGCUGUUGAGGUGGCCGAGUUAGUCCUGGAGGAGCUAGACAUCGCAGUUGAACAGGUGAGCUUCUACACCGACUCCAAAGUAGUGCUCGGUUACAUCUUUAACAAAAAGAGACGCUUUCACGUUUAUGUGCACAAUAGAGUGGAACGUAUUAGGCGCUUCACACAAGCUCACCAGUGGCAUUACGUGCCCACUCAUGUAAAUCCUGCUGAUCAUGCCACACGAGCACUACCCGCUGAGCAGCUCUCUAAUUCCACAUGGAUCAGUGGACCCACUUUCCUUUCAAAUUUAGGAAAGAGUCAACCACAGGCAGAGUUGUUUGAUCUUGUAGACCCGGAGACUGACGAUGAACUGCGACCUGAGGUUACUACUUGUGCCACCACUCUCUCAAGGGAUAGACUCAGUAGUGUCAGAUUUGAAAGGUUUUCGAGUUGGAAUGCACUACUUAAAGCUAUAUCCAAACUCCAGCACAUUGCCCAGUCAUUUAAGCCGAACACAGAGAGCUCCUGUCACGGCUGGCACAGCUGUAAUGAACAUUUAACUGAAAAACAACUCAACCAAGCCAAGAACACUAUCAUUCACACUGUUCAAAGAGAAGUUUACGCAGAGGACAUAAGACAAGUUGAAAAAGGUGUGCCCCUUAAAAAAUCAAGCCCACUUAGCAAACUGAGCCCUAUUGUCGACGCUAAUGGAAUCCUCAGAGUGGGUGGGAGACUAAAACGAGGACAGUUGACAUCGGACGAAACAAAUCCCAUACUCAUCCCUGGAAAGCACCACCUUACCCAGCUCAUUAUAAAACACUUCCACAGGAAAGUAUGCCACCAGGGCAGACAUUUUACUGAAGGGGCAGUCAGGUCUGGAGGUUUUUGGAUUGUGGGAGGUAAAAGAGCAAUAAGCAGAGUGAUAUUCAAUUGUGUCACAUGCCGCAAACUAAGGGGCAGACAACAGGAACAGAUCAUGGCUGAGCUACCAGAGGACAGGCUGUCCACGGACCCUCCUUUCACACAUGUUGGCCUUGAUGUGUUCGGCCCCUGGCCUGUCACAGUCAGAAGAACACGUGGUGGGCAAGCGGAUGCUAAGCGAUGGGCAGUCAUAUUCACAUGUAUGAGCACACGUGCCAUUCACAUUGAAACUAUAGAAUCGAUGGACACGUCGUCGUUCAUCAAUGCGCUGCGUCGUUUCUUCGCCAUUAGGGGUGCAGUCAAACUUCUCAGAUCCGAUUGUGGGACAAAUUUUGUGAGUGCCUGCAAAGAACUGCAAAUAGACAAACAGGGCUGUCACAACAGCAAACUUCACAGCUUUCUCAAAGAUUCUGGCUGCAAAUGGCAUUUCAACCCCCCACAUGCAUCUCAUAUGGGUGGCUCCUGGGAGCGCAUGAUUGGGGUCACACGCAAAAUCCUCGAUGCAAUGCUCCUAGAACAUAGAAAUGCAAAACUUACUCAUGAGAUAUUAGUGACAUUAAUGGCUGAAGUCACUGCAAUAGUGAAUGCUCGUCCGCUCACAGCAGUUUCUACAGAUCCAGAAAACCCAGCCAUUCUUACCCCUGCCAUGCUACUCACACAAAAAGUUGCGACCCCACCAGUCCCACCAGGUCAGUUUGAAAGCAGGGAUCUUUUCAGAGCGCAAUGGAGGCGCGUGCAAUACCUCGCCAAUGUUUUCUGGAGCCGAUGGCAAAGGGAAUACAUUUCAGGACUUCAGAACCGCCGCAAAUGGAAAACCGUAAAACCAAAUCUACAAACAGGAGAUGUUGUUCUGCUAAAGGAGGCACUUGAACAUAGGAACAACUGGCCACUUGGUCUCAUCACCAAAAUCUUCCCAAGCGAGGAUGGACUUGUCAGGAAAAUAGAGGUGAAGAUUUUCCGCAAGGGUGAACUCAGAUGCUACAUAAGACCUAUAAGUGAGGUUGUGUUAUUGGUGUCUAAGGACAGUACUUAAAAUCAGGUAAUUUAUCUGUAUUUACAUGCUAGUUAUGGAUGACAUUCUACAGAUGUCAGGCGGGGAGUAUUCUGUCCCUCUAUGUUCAAUAGUAUUGUAGUAGUUCGCUAGUGCAUUUCUUUAUUUUGCCACUAGGGGUCAGUAUCUCUUUUAGUGUUUUUGGGGGUUCUUCUUCGGUUAUAUUUUGCACUCACUAUGAUUAUGCUCUGUUGGUGAUGUGUUGAGGCAGCAGGAAAAACGUUUGUUACACGAAGUGUGAGAAAAUGCCUAGAGGUGUUUACAUGCUACACUCCUCUCAGACCCCUUACAUCUUUGGGAAGCUUUGACAUGCCAUAAUCUUUUUACAAAUCAGAAAAGAGAGGUCUUCAGUAAAGGCACUAAGAAGAAAACUGUGUCCUGUCAUUCCUGGAGCCACACCUUCUCUUACUGAAUGUUUAGCUCACUGCAUAGGCUGAGUAGCCACACACUCAACCGAGGGCAGAAGAAUCUUUUUA
RNA transcript from Carassius auratus (goldfish), 7281 nucleotides. RefSeq lists it as uncharacterized. NCBI's taxonomy places the organism in Eukaryota, Metazoa, Chordata, Actinopteri, Cypriniformes, Cyprinidae. The transcript has 2 exons. The record is from RefSeq and is a predicted model, not a curated record.